GCCUUCGUAGUGUAGUGGUCAGCACGCUCGACGCGUAACCGAGAGGUCCGUGGUUCGAUUCUCAGCGAAGGCA
This 73-nucleotide transfer RNA is filed under the name Stegodyphus mimosarum. It matches the Rfam family "tRNA". Rfam says of the family: Transfer RNA (tRNA) molecules are approximately 80 nucleotides in length. Their secondary structure includes four short double-helical elements and three loops (D, anti-codon, and T loops). Lineage: Eukaryota; Metazoa; Arthropoda; Arachnida; Araneae; Eresidae. The record is from Rfam by way of RNAcentral.